UCCAUUUCCAUCCACAUCGGCCUAGAAAAGCAGUGAAGUUCAUUAUUCUCAGUUGGACCAAUGAAUGCAUCAAUUUGAAGUGAAAUCCAGAAUGCCAGAGAAAACCAAAGAAAAAUGUAAUCGAUAGAGGGAGAGAGAUUGAAAGCAAAAUUUCAAAUGCUAAGAUGAAUGGACACAAUACAAUAAGACACUACAAGGGCUGCAAUAGAUAAGCAAAUAUGGACCAUAGCUAAGAACCAUGAUGGCUCCUCAAUUCCUCAGGGUUUGACACGUUUUUUACGAAGUUAAGCAUGCAAACUUAUAUUUGUACAAUGUUGAUCAUAAAAAGGGCAGCAUAAUGUAAAAUGCAACAACUUCAUCCAUCAAUCAUCAAUAUCAUAGAUCUAAUGAAGAUUUCCACACCAGUUCUUAAUCCUACUGACUUCCUUUUUCUAAAUCCUGAUCAGAAAAUUUGGGCUUCAGUUUGGGACAGGUUGAAUUUUUAGACUUAGCAGCAAUUGAAAAGGAAUGAAUUUUCUAGAAGGAUGACUGUCAACAUCUUCUCUGUACCGCUGUAGAAUGGGUAUCUUUAAAGUACCAU
This 580-nucleotide unclassified non-coding RNA is filed under the name Hevea brasiliensis (rubber tree). Lineage: Eukaryota; Viridiplantae; Streptophyta; Magnoliopsida; Malpighiales; Euphorbiaceae. The record is from RNAcentral.